Molecule: long non-coding RNA, 320 nt
Organism: Musa acuminata AAA Group (dessert banana)
Lineage: Eukaryota; Viridiplantae; Streptophyta; Magnoliopsida; Zingiberales; Musaceae
Exons: 3
Source: RefSeq, a predicted model, not a curated record
CAGUAAAAGAUAUAAAUGUUUUCCUAUUACAUUAUUGAUAUAUGUUCUGAUUUCCCGAGUUCCGUGAGAAUGUGGCUGCAUGGAUUUGUUUUCAUGACCGGAAGGAUUCAUUCAGGGGGUUCUCCUGCUAAUCGAACAGGGAAGAGCUUUACGUAUCGCCGAGAAGACAAAUUACUUGCUUUUCAGGUUUGGUCGCUCAUCAAAAGCACCGGGAUGAUCUAACCUGGUCCGAACCCAAGGUUGAAGCUAGAAUCACCCUUGAUAUGGAUCCUAAAGUCAAUGAAGGGAGAAAUGAAUGGGAAGAAGAUUCGAGAAGUCGA